GGGAAGGCCCAGACAGCCAGGAUGUUGGCUUAGAAGCAGCCAUCAUUUAAAGAAAGCGUAAUAGCUCACUGGUCGAGUCGGCCUGCGCGGAAGAUGUAACGGGGCUAAACCAUGCACCGAAGCUGCGGCAGCGACGCUGAUGCGUUGUUGGGUAGGGGAGCGUUCUGUAAGCUUGUGAAGGUGUGCUGUGAGGCAUGCUGGAGGUAUCAGAAGUGCGAAUGCUGACAUAAGUAACGAUAAAGCGGGUGAAAAGCCCGCUCGCCGGAAGACCAAGGGUUCCUGUCCAACGUUAAUCGGGGCAGGGUGAGUCGACCCCUAAGGCGAGGCCGAAAGGCGUAGUCGAUGGGAAACAGGUUAAUAUUCCUGUACUUGGUGUUACUGCGAAGGGGGGACGGAGAAGGCUAUGUUGGCCGGGCGACGGUUGUCCCGGUUUAAGCGUGUAGGCUGGUUUUCCAGGCAAAUCCGGAAAAUCAAGGCUGAGGCGUGAUGACGAGGCACUACGGUGCUGAAGCAACAAAUGCCCUGCUUCCAGGAAAAGCCUCUAAGCAUCAGGUAACAUCAAAUCGUACCCCAAACCGACACAGGUGGUCAGGUAGAGAAUACCAAGGCGCUUGAGAGAACUCGGGUGAAGGAACUAGGCAAAAUGGUGCCGUAACUUCGGGAGAAGGCACGCUGAUAUGUAGGUGAAGUCCCUCGCGGAUGGAGCUGAAAUCAGUCGAAGAUACCAGCUGGCUGCAACUGUUUAUUAAAAACACAGCACUGUGCAAACACGAAAGUGGACGUAUACGGUGUGACGCCUGCCCGGUGC
RNAcentral lists this ribosomal RNA (808 nucleotides) under Escherichia coli. RNAcentral's name for it is "partial 23S ribosomal RNA". It matches the Rfam family "Bacterial large subunit ribosomal RNA", at positions 1077 to 1869 of the family's 2925-position model. Lineage: Bacteria; Pseudomonadati; Pseudomonadota; Gammaproteobacteria; Enterobacterales; Enterobacteriaceae. The record is from RNAcentral.